Long non-coding RNA from Melitaea cinxia (Glanville fritillary), 446 nucleotides. RefSeq lists it as uncharacterized. The transcript has 2 exons. The record is from RefSeq and is a predicted model, not a curated record. NCBI's taxonomy places the organism in Eukaryota, Metazoa, Arthropoda, Insecta, Lepidoptera, Nymphalidae.
UUAGACAUUAGCAUCGAAACAAUAGUUUGUUUGGUGCUACUGAAGACUGGGAACAUCCACAAAAGAUGUCUUUUUCUGCAUUAUACAUGAUUCCAUGAGUGUGAUGAGUUCAAAGAACAACUGCCCUGCGUGGUGUGUACUCCUUGUUGGCGUCUACAUACCAGCGCGGCGGUUUGCGGGUUCGAUUCUUGCUCGGGAUAGAAAUUUGUAUUUACAAGUAUUCCUAUCCGGUUUCGAUAUCUAUGCUUGUCGGUCUCCCUACCGUACCUCGGAGGCCUAUGACCAGCAGUAGGAUGCUACAGGCCGAAUUGUGAUCCUUUAGCCUGUAACUGCACUGUAUAAUGAUAAGAAUUUAUUAAUCUGUUAUUUUUUUUAAUUUAUACGAUAUCACUGUCUUAGCUACAAUAGGUAAUUAAAAUAAUGGGUGGUAAAAGAAGAAAUGUCGA